This 497-nucleotide ribosomal RNA is filed under the name uncultured bacterium. RNAcentral describes it as "partial 16S ribosomal RNA". It matches the Rfam family "Bacterial small subunit ribosomal RNA", at positions 28 to 507 of the family's 1533-position model. The record is from RNAcentral.
GAUGAACGCUGGCGGCGUGCCUAAUACAUGCAAGUCGAGCGAACAGACGAGGAGCUUGCUCCUCUGACGUUAGCGGCGGACGGGUGAGUAACACGUGGAUAACCUACCUAUAAGACUGGGAUAACUUCGGGAAACCGGGGCUAAUACCGGAUAAUAUAUUGAACUGCAUGGUUCAAUAGUGAAAGACGGUUUUGCUGUCACUUAUAGAUGGAUCCGCGCCGCAUUAGCUAGUUGGUAAGGUAACGGCUUACCAAGGCAACGAUGCGUAGCCGACCUGAGAGGGUGAUCGGCCACACUAGAACUGAGACACGGUCCAGACUCCUACGGGAGGCAGCAGUAGGGAAUCUUCCGCAAUGGGCGAAAGCCUGACGGAGCAACGCCGCGUGAGUGAUGAAGGUCUUCGGAUCGUAAAACUCUGUUAUUAGGGAAGAACAAAUGUGUAAGUAACUAUGCACGUCUUGACGGUACCUAAUCAGAAAGCCACGGCUAACUACGUG